GGUAGCGAGGCGUGGAAGUGGAAAGCAGAGACAGAAGCAGAAAGGCAAAUCUGUGAGAGGUCACAGAACGUGGGCCUUGACCCGACUACUCCUCUCUCCUUUCAGUGCUUCUCUCUCCUCUCGCCUGCUCCGCAAGCCUAGACCUUGCUACUACAAUUGUAAUUAUAUUUACAGGUUCAACCCUUAUAAGAAACAUCAGAGAGAUGGCAUAAGAGGAAAGUAAAGCGCAACCGCGCAGGCCUUUGCCGCGUCGAAGAGCCACAGUGAGGCCGACCGCCGCCGCCGGAGAGUUUCAACGCUUACCUUGCAAUGCUUCGUAGCCUGCUCACGAGCGCCACUAGAUUUGCAUUAAUGGUGUCUGAAAUCUCUAUUUUUGAUCAAUUAGAGAAUAAAAUAUAAUGGAGAGAGAGAGAGAGAGAGAGAGGGCUACAAGGCAGAAGCCAGGAGCCGCCUUGUUGAUAUGAUAAAGAGGGGCAGAAAAACAAAAAGCUUACAAUGAAGUUGGGUCUGCGGCAAAGUAGCUACACUGAGCAGAAAGACAAAACCAGCGAAUUGUUUUGCCAGAUGUUCGCUGGUUAAUUUAGUUGACAAACUUUAAAAAAAUUCUGCAUGAUUGAAUUUUUCACUCAUGAAAUUUAAGUCUGGCAGUCGAACAUAGAAGAAAAAAAAAUUUAGAGACUAGCUAUUUUCUUUCAUUAAAAAAGACGACUGUAACUAAGAAAUUGCUAUAGAAGUCAUUAUGGUAUUUUUGCAUUAACAUUUACAUUAAAAAAAAAAAAAA
Dendrobium catenatum is the source of this 781-nucleotide long non-coding RNA. RefSeq lists it as uncharacterized. The record is from RefSeq and is a predicted model, not a curated record. The transcript has 2 exons. NCBI's taxonomy places the organism in Eukaryota, Viridiplantae, Streptophyta, Magnoliopsida, Asparagales, Orchidaceae.